Molecule: ribosomal RNA, 466 nt
Filed under: uncultured bacterium
Lineage: Bacteria
Description: bacterial SSU rRNA
Rfam family: Bacterial small subunit ribosomal RNA
Source: RNAcentral
ACCAGACUCCUACGGGAGGCAGCAGUGAGGAAUAUUGGUCAAUGGGCGCGAGCCUGAACCAGCCAAGUCGCGUGAGGGAUGACGGUCCUACGGAUUGUAAACCUCUUUUGCCGGGGAGCAAGCGUGCGUUCGUGAACGCGCGUCGAGAGUACCCGGAGAAAAAGCAUCGGCUAACUCCGUGCCAGCAGCCGCGGUAAUACGGAGGAUGCGAGCGUUAUCCGGAAUUACUGGGUGUAAAGGGAGCGUAGACGGCGAGGUAAGCCUGAAGUGGAAGCCCGCGGCCCAACCGCGGAACUGCUUUGGGAACUGUUUUGCUGGAGUAUGGGAGGGGUAAGCGGAAUUCCUGGUGUAGCGGUGAAAUGCAUAGAUAUCACGCAGAACUCCGAUUGCGAAGGCAGCAUACCGGCGCUCAACUGACGCUCAUGCACGAAAGCGUGGGUAUCGAACAGGAUUAGAUACCCUAGUA